RNAcentral lists this ribosomal RNA (697 nucleotides) under uncultured Pseudomonadota bacterium. RNAcentral's name for it is "bacterial SSU rRNA". It matches the Rfam family "Bacterial small subunit ribosomal RNA", at positions 42 to 732 of the family's 1533-position model. The record is from RNAcentral. Lineage: Bacteria; Pseudomonadati; Pseudomonadota.
GCAGGCUUAACACAUGCAAGUCGAGCGGUAACAGGAGAAGCUUGCUUCUCGCUGACGAGCGGCGGACGGGUGAGUAAUACUUAGGAAUCUACCUAGUAGUGGGGGAUAGCUCGGGGAAACUCGAAUUAAUACCGCAUACGACCUACGGGAGAAAGGGGGCAACUUGUUGCUCUCGCUAUUAGAUGAGCCUAAGUCGGAUUAGCUAGAUGGUGGGGUAAAGGCCUACCAUGGCGACGAUCUGUAGCUGGUCUGAGAGGAUGAUCAGCCACACCGGGACUGAGACACGGCCCGGACUCCUACGGGAGGCAGCAGUGGGGAAUAUUGGACAAUGGGGGCAACCCUGAUCCAGCCAUGCCGCGUGUGUGAAGAAGGCCUUUUGGUUGUAAAGCACUUUAAGCAGUGAAGAAGACUCCAUGGUUAAUACCCAUGGACGAUGACAUUAGCUGCAGAAUAAGCACCGGCUAACUCUGUGCCAGCAGCCGCGGUAAUACAGAGGGUGCAAGCGUUAAUCGGAAUUACUGGGCGUAAAGCGAGCGUAGGUGGCUUGAUAAGUCAGAUGUGAAAGCCCCGGGCUUAACCUGGGAACGGCAUCUGAUACUGUUAGGCUAGAGUAGGUGAGAGGAGGGUAGAAUUCCAGGUGUAGCGGUGAAAUGCGUAGAGAUCUGGAGGAAUACCGAUGGCGAAGGCAGCCUUCUGG